CUCGUAGGCGGUUCGACAAGUCGGGUGUGAAAACUCCGGGCUCAACCCGGAGACGCCACCCGAUACUGUCGUGACUGGAGUCCGGUAGGGGAGUGGGGAAUUCCUGGUGUAGCGGUGAAAUGCGCAGAUAUCAGGAGGAACACCGGUGGCGAAGGCGCCACUCUGGGCCGGUACUGACGCUGAGGAGCGAAAGCCAGGGGAGCAAACG
RNAcentral lists this ribosomal RNA (208 nucleotides) under uncultured bacterium. RNAcentral describes it as "partial 16S ribosomal RNA". It matches the Rfam family "Bacterial small subunit ribosomal RNA", at positions 568 to 774 of the family's 1533-position model. The record is from RNAcentral.